UACGAAGGUGGCAAGCGUUGUUCGGAUUUACUGGGCGUACAGGGAGCGUAGGCGGUUGGAUAAGCCCUCCGUGAAAUCUCCAGGCUUAACCUGGAAAGUGCAGAGGGGACUGUUCAGCUAGAGGAUGGGAGAGGAGCGCGGAAUUCCCGGUGUAGCGGUGAAAUGCGUAGAGAUCGGGAGGAAGGCCGGUGGCGAAGGCGGCGCUCUGGAACAUUUCUGACGCUGAGGCUCAAAAGCGUGGGGAGCAAACAGG
Molecule: ribosomal RNA, 253 nt
Filed under: uncultured bacterium
Lineage: Bacteria
Description: partial 16S ribosomal RNA
Rfam family: Bacterial small subunit ribosomal RNA
Source: RNAcentral